This 957-nucleotide ribosomal RNA is filed under the name uncultured Atheliaceae. RNAcentral's name for it is "eukaryotic LSU rRNA". The stretch from base 581 to 957 matches the Rfam family "Eukaryotic large subunit ribosomal RNA", at positions 1 to 369 of the family's 3401-position model. The record is from RNAcentral. Lineage: Eukaryota; Fungi; Basidiomycota; Agaricomycetes; Atheliales; Atheliaceae.
CAUUAUCGAAUUAAACAAGGCGAAAGGUUGUNNUGGCCCCUCGGGGCANGUGAACGCCCGAGNCGAUUUUAAUCCAAACCAACACCUGUGAUACUUACCGUAGGGCGCUCCUUUGAGCGUCGCUAUUUCUUAUCAUAAACACUGUACGUCGAUAGAAUGUAAAUCAAAUAUCUUCGCCCUGAAAAAGCGUUGGUAAACUUUAUACAACUUUCAACAACGGAUCUCUUGGCUCUCGCAUCGAUGAAGAACGCAGCGAAAUGCGAUAAGUAAUGUGAAUUGCAGAUUUUCAGUGAAUCAUCGAAUCUUUGAACGCACCUUGCGCUCCUUGGUAUUCCGAGGAGCAUGCCUGUUUGAGUGUCAUUAAAUUUCUCAACGCCGAUUCGAUUUGGUUUUUACCAUGUCGUUUUGGACGCUUGGAUUUUGGAGCGUGCUGGCCCUUGCCCGGGUCGGCUCCUCUUAAAAGCAUUGGCGGAAUUACGUUGGUCUUUUCGGUCAUCAGUGUGAUAAUUAUGUUACGCUGUCGGCCUAGAUCAAAGUCCGCUUAUAAUGGUCUUUGGACAAAAUUUAACAACCAAAAAUUUGACCUCAAAUCAGGUAGGACUACCCGCUGAACUUAAGCAUAUCAAUAAGCGGAGGAAAAGAAACUAACAAGGAUUCCCCUAGUAACUGCGAGUGAAGCGGGAAAAGCUCAAAUUUAAAAUCUGGCGGUCUUUUGGCCGUCCGAGUUGUAAUCUGGAGAAGCGUUUUCCGCGUCGGACCGUGUACAAGUCUUCUGGAACGGAGCGUCAUAGAGGGUGAGAAUCCCGUNUUUGACACGGACUGCCGAUGCUUUUGUGAUGCGCUCUCGAAGAGUCGAGUUGUUUGGGAAUGCAGCUCAAAACGGGUGGUAAAUUCCAUCUAAAGCUAAAUAUUGGCGAGAGACCGAUAGCGAACAAGUACCGUGAGGGAAAGAUGAAA